Molecule: small RNA, 575 nt
Filed under: Pan troglodytes (chimpanzee)
Lineage: Eukaryota; Metazoa; Chordata; Mammalia; Primates; Hominidae
Description: processed transcript
Source: RNAcentral
AGUCCCUCUGGGGUGGCCCAAGCAGGGCACAGGGCGGGGAGCCAGGCUCUUCAGGGCCCCACCACAGGCUGGCCCUGCACCCCAUCCUGCCUUCUCUCCCCACUGUGGGCCCAGAACUUGCCCCGUGGGGGCCGGGAAGCACCCACCACCCCCACCCCUAGCUGCUCUCAGCCAGAGCCCAGCUGGCCUUGCAGGAUUGAUUUUCCAGCAAAAAACAACAGCAGAGAAACCCAAGAGCAGCUGCAUGAGCCCUCCCAGGCCUCCCCCCGCAGCCAGCACUCCCUGCAGCAAAGAAAACCAUCUGGCCACUGGGCCCUGAGCCCGGCGCCCGGAGGAGGACCUGCUCCCCAGGCUCUGCUCCCCAGGCUGGCCCUGGGCCUCUCCCGGCCUGACCCGCUCCCCUUGGCAUCAAGGCCCAGGAGGGACGGGGUGGCCCGGCCAGGGCGUGGGUGUUCCCCGGCCCCUCUGAGCACCAGCACCUGGCCGUGCAGCAUCGAGGACAGGAGGAACUGGAGCCUCAUUGGCCGGCCCGGGGCGCCGGCCUCGGGCUUAAAUAGGAGCUCCGGGCUCUGGCU